Molecule: long non-coding RNA, 321 nt
Filed under: Homo sapiens (human)
Lineage: Eukaryota; Metazoa; Chordata; Mammalia; Primates; Hominidae
Description: long non-coding RNA NONHSAT153141
Source: RNAcentral
AGAACUGAAAAUCCACAAAGGUUUCCCCAUGGAAUGUCAUCAAAAGAGCUCCAGUAUUCCACUUUGGUAAAGUAGAGGAUAAUAGGAAUGCAGGUGAUGAAGAGGAUGUUAAACACACCCAAGAUGGACAAAAAUAAGGCGGCUUCUCCAAACUUAGCACUGCCCAGGAGGAGCUUGAACAAAACCUGUACCUUGUAGAGGGCAGACAUCGAUGCUGAGGCCACCACCAGUGCGAUGCCGAUGACGGAGUGGCUGUGGAAGCCAUCAGCGUAGGUCAUCAUCACAAUGCCAGCGAUGGCGAGGAUGGCGGCCACAAUCUGG